GACGAACGCUGGCGGCGUGCUUAACACAUGCAAGUCGAACGAUGGAGGAGAGCUUGCUCUCCGGAUUAGUGGCGAACGGGUGAGUAACACGUGACUAACCUGCCCCUUUCUCUGGGAUACGCUCCGAAAGGAGUGCUAAUACCGGAUACGAACUCUGAACACAUGUUCGGAGUUGGAAAGUUUUUCGGAAAGGGAUGGAGUCGCGGCCUAUCAGCUUGUUGGUGAGGUAACGGCUCACCAAGGCGACGACGGGUAGCCGGCCUGAGAGGGCGACCGGCCACACUGGGACUGAGACACGGCCCAGACUCCUACGGGAGGCAGCAGUGGGGAAUAUUGCACAAUGGGCGAAAGCCUGAUGCGGUGACGCCGCGUGAGGGAUGAAGGUCUUCGGAUUGUAAACCUCUUUCAGUAGGGACGAAGCGAAAGUGACGGUACCUAAAGAAGAAGCACCGGCUAACUACGUGCCAGCAGCCGCCGUAA
RNAcentral lists this ribosomal RNA (480 nucleotides) under uncultured bacterium. RNAcentral describes it as "partial 16S ribosomal RNA". It matches the Rfam family "Bacterial small subunit ribosomal RNA", at positions 28 to 523 of the family's 1533-position model. The record is from RNAcentral.